RNAcentral lists this long non-coding RNA (201 nucleotides) under Fukomys damarensis (Damara mole-rat). RNAcentral describes it as "lncRNA (ENSFDAG00000026356.1)". Lineage: Eukaryota; Metazoa; Chordata; Mammalia; Rodentia; Bathyergidae. The record is from RNAcentral.
CUAGGAAGUACAAAGCAAUAGCCGUGGACACAAAGGGGAAAAUGACAGAAAGAUUGGACCGAGGCGAAAAGAUGUUUCAAGAACACAGAGAAGACAGAAAAUCUUUCUUCCACUAAAACAGAAUCUAAUUUGGAGAAACUGAAUAGUCUGCAUUUCAGAAAAAUCAAGAGUUUGGAGAUUCAUGAGAAUUGUUUUGGGCCC